GUCGCCAUAGCUCAGGGGUUAGAGCAGUGGUCUCGGAAUUCAGGGGUCGCAGGUUUGAAUCUUGCUGGGGCCA
Molecule: transfer RNA, 73 nt
Filed under: Chelonia mydas (Green sea turtle)
Lineage: Eukaryota; Metazoa; Chordata; Testudines; Cheloniidae
Rfam family: tRNA
About the family: Transfer RNA (tRNA) molecules are approximately 80 nucleotides in length.
Source: Rfam by way of RNAcentral